Small nuclear RNA from Cornus florida, 120 nucleotides. RefSeq annotates it as U5 spliceosomal RNA. The transcript has a single exon. NCBI's taxonomy places the organism in Eukaryota, Viridiplantae, Streptophyta, Magnoliopsida, Cornales, Cornaceae. The record is from RefSeq and is a predicted model, not a curated record.
AUAUAGAACGAAGCGACCCUCACCAACUAUUCUUUCGCCUUUUACUAAAGAAGACCGUGUGCGCGCCGCAAAUAGUGGCAUACGCCCAUUUUUGGAGGGGCCCAUCCCAUUAGGGAUGGU